This is a small nucleolar RNA of Apodemus sylvaticus (European woodmouse), 137 nucleotides long. RefSeq annotates it as small nucleolar RNA SNORA17. The transcript has a single exon. The record is from RefSeq and is a predicted model, not a curated record. NCBI's taxonomy places the organism in Eukaryota, Metazoa, Chordata, Mammalia, Rodentia, Muridae.
ACUAUUCCUAUAAGCAUUGUAGAUGUGGCUGAUGUGUCACAUGUUUGUCAUUGAGUGGAAGAAUGGACAAAGGCUAUGUCUAAGCUCAGUGUUCUGACCUAAAAACAGUCAGUUUAGACUACCAACAGUAUGAGGCU